Larimichthys crocea (large yellow croaker) is the source of this 46-nucleotide non-coding RNA. The record is from Rfam. NCBI's taxonomy places the organism in Eukaryota, Metazoa, Chordata, Actinopteri, Sciaenidae.
UAAGAGGUUUUACUCAAAACCACAAAUGUCAACCUCAAAGUCACGG